This 468-nucleotide ribosomal RNA is filed under the name uncultured bacterium. RNAcentral's name for it is "partial 16S ribosomal RNA". It matches the Rfam family "Bacterial small subunit ribosomal RNA", at positions 28 to 507 of the family's 1533-position model. The record is from RNAcentral.
GACGAACGCUGGCGGCGUGCUUAACACAUGCAAGUCGAACGGAAAGGCCCUGCUUUUGUGGGGUGCUCGAGUGGCGAACGGGUGAGUAACACGUGAGUAACCUGCCCUUGACUUUGGGAUAACUUCAGGAAACUGGGGCUAAUACCGGAUAGGAGCUCCUGCUGCAUGGUGGGGGUUGGAAAGUUUCGGCGGUUGGGGAUGGACUCGCGGCUUAUCAGCUUGUUGGUGGGGUAGUGGCUUACCAAGGCUUUGACGGGUAGCCGGCCUGAGAGGGUGACCGGCCACAUUGGGACUGAGGUACGGCCCAGACUCCUACGGGAGGCAGCAGUGGGGAAUAUUGCACAAUGGGCGGAAGCCUGAUGCAGCAACGCCGCGUGCGGGAUGACGGCCUUCGGGUUGUAAACCGCUUUCGCCUGUGGCGAAGCGUGAGUGACGGUAAUGGGUAAAGAAGCACCGGCUAACUACGUG